AAGGGAGACCUAAUUCGGGUAGAAGACGAAAAAAUAGUAGUCGAAACCAAGAAUCAAUCCCAAAAGGUCGGAACGAGGUAUGUGGCUUUCAAACUAGGUUCUGGGUUCACAAAAGACCUGAAUCAGGAACAAGGGCUAUUAGCUCAGGUGGUUAGAGCGCACCCCUGAUAAGGGUGAGGUCCCUGGUUCGAGUCCAGGAUGGCCCACCUGCACAGGUGGCAAAAACAAGAGAAACGAGGAAUCAGCACCUUAUCUUACUUACAUAGUAAGAGAGAAUGCUGGCUCUGAGUAAAGAGUCCAGAGGAACCUUGAAAACUGCAUAGAGCUAGGUGAAAAAGCCAAAAAAGAAGACCGCAAGG
This 359-nucleotide transfer RNA is filed under the name Microcystis wesenbergii SK21. Its description in RNAcentral is "partial 16S-23S ribosomal RNA intergenic spacer". The stretch from base 133 to 206 matches the Rfam family "tRNA". Lineage: Bacteria; Bacillati; Cyanobacteriota; Cyanophyceae; Chroococcales; Microcystaceae. The record is from RNAcentral.